UACGUAGGGAGCAAGCGUUGUUCGGAUUUACUGGGCGUAAAGCGAGUGUAGGCGGUCUGCUAAGUCGGGUGUGAAAGCCCCGGGCUCAACCCGGGAAGUGCACUCGAAACUGGCAGGCUAGAGUACUGGAGAGGUUGGUGGAAUUCUCGGUGUAGAGGUGAAAUUCGUAGAUAUCGAGAGGAACACCGGUGGCGAAGGCGGCCAACUGGACAGAUACUGACGCUGAGACUCGAAAGCGUGGGGAGCAAACAGG
Molecule: ribosomal RNA, 253 nt
Filed under: uncultured bacterium
Lineage: Bacteria
Description: partial 16S ribosomal RNA
Rfam family: Bacterial small subunit ribosomal RNA
Source: RNAcentral